CGGCGGGGCCCGGUUGCGCGGGCUGCCCGCUCCGGCAAGCGGGGCCCAGCGAGAGAGCUGAUGACAGCCAAGGAACACGAACUGCAUUGUGGGCACUAGGCAAAAACUGCUAAUGAAGGAUCAAUAGAAAAAGACAGCAUUUGAAAGGAGAAAGAAAAAGUGGCAAAGAAGAUGUAUUAAAUCAACUUGCUCUGCAUUCAUCUCUUCAAUUCAAAACACAAGAUAGGACCACCAAUGCAGAAACAGAUUUUGUUAUUCCUGGAGCAAUCAACAGUAUUGGCAUGCUAACAAUGCCUAAAAGCCUUCCUGAGUAACUGUAUGAGAACACAUCUUCACUUGUUAGUCAGACCUCAAAGGUGCCAAGGGUUCUUGCAUCAGCUUGAAGAGCACUUAAGAAACACCAAAAAUAUCAUCGCAUGAGUGCUGAACACUGGGUGGCUUAGAAAUAAACAUGUUUGUU
Long non-coding RNA from Harpia harpyja (harpy eagle), 460 nucleotides. RefSeq lists it as uncharacterized. The transcript has 3 exons. The record is from RefSeq and is a predicted model, not a curated record. NCBI's taxonomy places the organism in Eukaryota, Metazoa, Chordata, Aves, Accipitriformes, Accipitridae.